Molecule: ribosomal RNA, 433 nt
Filed under: uncultured bacterium
Lineage: Bacteria
Description: partial 16S ribosomal RNA
Rfam family: Bacterial small subunit ribosomal RNA
Source: RNAcentral
AACGAACGCUGGCGGCAUGCCUAACACAUGCAAGUCGAACGAGACCUUCGGGUCUAGUGGCGCACGGGUGCGUAACGCGUGGGAACCUGCCCUUAGGUUCGGAAUAACUCCCCGAAAGGGGUGCUAAUACCGGAUAAUGUCUUCGGACCAAAGAUUUAUCGCCUUUGGAUGGGCCCGCGUUGGAUUAGCUAGUUGGUAGGGUAAAAGCCUACCAAGGCGACGAUCCAUAGCUGGUCUGAGAGGAUGAUCAGCCACACUGGGACUGAGACACGGCCCAGACUCCUACGGGAAGCAGCAGUGGGGAAUAUUGGACAAUGGGCGAAAGCCUGAUCCAGCAAGGCCGCGUGAGUGAUGAAGGCCUUAGGGUUGUAAAGCUCUUUUACCCGGGAUGAUAAUGACAGUACCGGGAGAAUAAGCUACGGCUAACUCCGUG